GUAGGUGGCAAGCGUUGUCCGGAAUUAUUGGGCGUAAAGCGCGCGCAGGCGGUUCUUUAAGUCUGAUGUGAAAGCCCACGGCUCAACCGUGGAGGGUCAUUGGAAACUGGAGAACUUGAGUACAGAAGAGGAAAGCGGAAUUCCACGUGUAGCGGUGAAAUGCGUAGAGAUGUGGAGGAACACCAGUGGCGAAGGCGGCUUUCUGGUCUGUAACUGACGCUGAGGCGCGAAAGCGUGGGGAGCAAACAGGAUUAGUUACCCUGGUAGUCCACGCCGUAAACGAUGAGUGCUAAGUGUUAGGGGGUUUCCGCCCCCUUAGUGCUGCAGCUAACGCAUUAAGCACUCCGCCUGGGGAUACGGCCGCAAGGCUG
This 371-nucleotide ribosomal RNA is filed under the name uncultured organism. RNAcentral describes it as "partial 16S ribosomal RNA". It matches the Rfam family "Bacterial small subunit ribosomal RNA", at positions 527 to 896 of the family's 1533-position model. The record is from RNAcentral.